AAUAAUUAAAAUUUCUAAAUAAAAUUCUAAUCUUCUUAUUCUACAUUACAUGAGCCUUGGAUGCUUAUGUGGUAAUCUAGGGUUUGGAAAUGAGGAUUUAAUGCUCUAGUACUACAUAGGGUUUGAGGCUAGUGGAUUCAUUAGUUAGGUUUGGAACAUUUCUGAAUUUGACUGUUAGAGUAUGACUUUUCAAAAUAUGGUUUCUGAAUUUUUCAUUUUUACAAUCAAGUCCCUCAACUUUCUCCCUUUUUCAAUUAAGUCAUUUUUUUCAUGAUUGCUAUCAAAUUGAUUGAGCUGGCUUUUUGUAUUCUAUAAAG
Molecule: unclassified non-coding RNA, 317 nt
Filed under: Hevea brasiliensis (rubber tree)
Lineage: Eukaryota; Viridiplantae; Streptophyta; Magnoliopsida; Malpighiales; Euphorbiaceae
Source: RNAcentral